RNAcentral lists this ribosomal RNA (253 nucleotides) under uncultured bacterium. RNAcentral describes it as "partial 16S ribosomal RNA". It matches the Rfam family "Bacterial small subunit ribosomal RNA", at positions 524 to 776 of the family's 1533-position model. The record is from RNAcentral.
UACGGGGGGAGCAAGCGUUGUUCGGAUUUACUGGGCGUAAAGGGCGCGUAGGCGGCGCAACAAGUCACUUGUGAAAUCUCCGGGCUUAACCCGGAGCGGCCAAGUGAUACUGCCGUGCUAGAGUGCGGAAGGGGCUACUGGAAUUCUCGGUGUAGCGGUGAAAUGCGUAGAUAUCGAGAGGAACACCUGCGGCGAAGGCGGGUAGCUGGGCCGACACUGACGCUGAGGCGCGAAAGCCAGGGGAGCGAACGGG